AUUGAACGCUGGCGGCAUGCCUUACACAUGCAAGUCGAACGGUAACAGGUCUUCGGAUGCUGACGAGUGGCGAACGGGUGAGUAAUACAUCGGAACGUGCCUAGUAGUGGGGGAUAACUACUCGAAAGAGUGGCUAAUACCGCAUGAGAUCUACGGAUGAAAGCAGGGGAUCGCAAGACCUUGUGCUACUAGAGCGGCCGAUGGCAGAUUAGGUAGUUGGUGGGAUAAAAGCUUACCAAGCCGACGAUCUGUAGCUGGUCUGAGAGGACGAUCACCCACACUGGGACUGAGACACGGCCCAGACUCCUGCGGGAGGCAGCAGUGGGGAAUUUUGGACAAUGGGCGAAAGCCUGAUCCAGCAAUGCCGCGUGCAGGAUGAAGGCCUUCGGGUUGUAAACUGCUUUUGUACGGAACGAAAAGCCCCGGGUUAAUACCCUGGGGUCAUGACGGUACCGUAAGAAUAAGCACCGGCUAACUACGUGCCAGCCGCCGCAGUAA
RNAcentral lists this ribosomal RNA (498 nucleotides) under uncultured bacterium. Its description in RNAcentral is "partial 16S ribosomal RNA". It matches the Rfam family "Bacterial small subunit ribosomal RNA", at positions 30 to 523 of the family's 1533-position model. The record is from RNAcentral.